GGUCCGCUGGCGUAAUGGCAGCGCGUCUGACUACGAUUCCAAAAGAUCAAGUAAUCAGGAGGUUCCAGGUUCGACCCCUGGGCGGAUCG
RNAcentral lists this transfer RNA (89 nucleotides) under Podospora comata. It matches the Rfam family "tRNA". Rfam says of the family: Transfer RNA (tRNA) molecules are approximately 80 nucleotides in length. Their secondary structure includes four short double-helical elements and three loops (D, anti-codon, and T loops). Further hydrogen bonds mediate the characteristic L-shaped molecular structure. tRNAs have two regions of fundamental functional importance: the anti-codon, which is responsible for specific mRNA codon recognition, and the 3' end, to which the tRNAs corresponding amino acid is attached (by aminoacyl-tRNA synthetases). tRNAs cope with the degeneracy of the genetic code in two manners: having more than one tRNA (with a specific anti-codon) for a particular amino acid; and 'wobble' base-pairing, i.e. permitting non-standard base-pairing at the 3rd anti-codon position. RNAcentral also lists the same sequence under 2 other names. The record is from RNAcentral. Lineage: Eukaryota; Fungi; Ascomycota; Sordariomycetes; Sordariales; Podosporaceae.